AUUGAACGCUGGCGGCAUGCUUUACACAUGCAAGUCGAACGGUAACAGGCCGCAAGGUUCUGACGAGUGGCGAACGGGUGAGUAAUGCAUCGGAACGUGCCCAGUCGUGGGGGAUAACUACUCGAAAGAGUAGCUAAUACCGCAUACGAUCUAUGGUUGAAAGCGGGGGACCGUAAGGCCUCGCGCGGUUGGAGCGGCCGAUGACCGAUUAGGUAGUUGGUGGGGUAAAGGCUCACCAAGCCAACGAUCUGUAGCUGGUCUGAGAGGACGACCAGCCGCACUGGGACUGAGACACGGCCCAUACUCCUACGAGAGGCAGCAGUGGGGAAUUUUGGACAAUGGGCGGAAGCCUGAUCCAGCAAUGCCACGUGUAGGAAGGAGGCCUUCGGGUUGUAAACUGGUUUUGUACGGAACGAAACGGCUUUGGUUAAUACCCGGGGCUAAUGACGGUACCGGAAGAAUAAGCACCGGCUAACUACGUG
Molecule: ribosomal RNA, 482 nt
Filed under: uncultured bacterium
Lineage: Bacteria
Description: partial 16S ribosomal RNA
Rfam family: Bacterial small subunit ribosomal RNA
Source: RNAcentral